AAUAGAUACCCGGUAGUCCAUGCCGUAAACGUUGGGCGCUAGAUGUGGGGACCAUUCCACGGUUUCCGUGUCGCAGCUAACGCAUUAAGCGCCCCGCCUGGGGAGUACGGCCGCAAGGCUAAAACUCAAAGGAAUUGACGGGGGCCCGCACAAGCGGCGGAGCAUGCGGAUUAAUUCGAUGCAACGCGAAGAACCUUACCAAGGCUUGACAGUAUACGAGAACGCUCUAGAAAUAGAGAACUCUUUGGACACUCGUAUACAGGUGGUGCAUGGUUGUCGUCAGCUCGUGUCGUGAGAUGUUGGGUUAAGUCCCGCAACGAGCGCAACCCUCGUUCUAUGUUGCCAGCGGUUCGGCCGGGAACUCAUAGGAGACUGCCGGGGUCAACUCGGAGGAAGGUGGGGAUGACGUCAAAUCAUCAUGCCCCUUAUGUCUUGGGCUUCACGCAUGCUACAAUGGCCGGUACAAAGGGCUGCAAUACCGUAAGGUGGAGCGAAUCCCAAAAAGCCGGUCUCAGUUCGGAUUGAGGUCUGCAACUCC
This 538-nucleotide ribosomal RNA is filed under the name uncultured bacterium. Its description in RNAcentral is "bacterial SSU rRNA". It matches the Rfam family "Bacterial small subunit ribosomal RNA", at positions 777 to 1314 of the family's 1533-position model. The record is from RNAcentral.